RNAcentral lists this long non-coding RNA (1285 nucleotides) under Serinus canaria (Common canary). RNAcentral's name for it is "lncRNA (ENSSCAG00000011568.1)". Lineage: Eukaryota; Metazoa; Chordata; Aves; Passeriformes; Fringillidae. The record is from RNAcentral.
UAGUGUUUGUCUCAUGGUGCAGAGAAGAUUAAUGGCAUGCAAGAACUGGAAGUCCUCCUAGAAGAGUGGGGGAAAAAAAGAAAAAAAAAGAGCAGGACAAUUUGGAAUUAAAUCAUUUUGGCAGGACUUCUGAUGACUGUGAUCAAUGUUGAUGUGUAAGAACAAACCUUUAAGAAGAAAGAAUAUCACUCUGCAAUUAAAAUCCACGGGGAUGUUUAGAGAAAAUUAAAAUUCAUGUCCUUGCUGCAACCUGUGUAAAAAUGGAUGGAGCAACUCCUUGCCUGAAAGCUCAAAUGGACUGCAAAACUUCUACAUGAGGCUCAUGUUGGGAAACCACAGCCCAGAUUUCUGAAAUUCAGGUUCUUUUAAUGCAUUCCCGAAUGGACCACCAUCAUUCAGAUUUAACUGGGGCACAGACUGCUUUAACUCACCAGCUGAAGUACCCUUCUUCAAGAAGCUUGGCCAUGGAGACUACCAUUUCAUAAAUAUCUUCCAUUUCCCAGCAGCUUUGCCUUGUCUUGAGCUUGCACAAGGGAAAAAGGAAGGCCCAGGAGUCACCAACUACUCAAUAAAGAAGAAAGAACAUUCCUGUGUCUGCCAUGGAACAGUACAAAACAGCAAAGACGAAAAUUUCUCUGAAGCUUUCAACCUGAGCUCUCUUCUGAGCACCUGGCACACUGGGGCUCCAAUCCAGAGGUCCCUUCCACCUUCUCUCCUGAGGACACCGGCACAAUGUCUGUCCUCGGCCAGGUGCAUCUGUCAGGCCACAUGUGUCGGUCAGGAUCUUGCCUGCAGGAGUAAGCACAUAAAGACAGGAUGUCUGAGAGGCAGAAAGGAGAUUCAGGAUGUUGAAGUUCAGUUUUGAGCUCUGAUGUGACUUGAGGCAAGUCAUGUAGUCAUUACCUGUAUCUCGGCUCUCCACAUCUGCACGGUGAUGGUUGUAGUUUGCCUCCACCAUGGUUACUCAGUCUGUAGUGGAUGAGCUAUCACCUGCAAUAUUUGCUUACGUCAGGCAGCACAUCAAGGGUCCAGUCUCACUCUGGGCCUCCAGACACAACCAUUCCUCAAAAAGCGUUUUGAACCCUAUGACUUUGAAGACACCUUCACAAGAAAGAAUGACAUUCUGCACAGUGGAGGAAAUGAGUUCUUCUGGUCCCCAAAAAAUCUGGGUUUGAGUUUUCUAGGACAUCAUAUUAAAAAAAAAAGAAGAAAAAAAAAGGGAAAAAAAAGAAGAAAUUAUAUUUUCUCUCAUAAAUAAAAGCCAUUUUAUUAUCUUCUGAAUCCA